Molecule: ribosomal RNA, 373 nt
Filed under: uncultured organism
Description: partial 16S ribosomal RNA
Rfam family: Bacterial small subunit ribosomal RNA
Source: RNAcentral
GUAGGUGGCGAGCGUUGUCCGGAAUUAUUGGGCGUAAAGCGCGCGCAGGUGGUUCUUUAAGUCUGAUGUGAAAGCCCCCGGCUCAACCGGGGAGGGUCAUUGGAAACUGGGGAACUUGAGUGCAGGAGAGGAAAGUGGAAUUCCACGUGUAGCGGUGAAAUGCGUAGAUAUGUGGAGGAACACCAGUGGCGAAGGCGACUUUCUGGCCUGUAACUGACACUGAGGCGCGAAAGCGUGGGGAGCAAACAGGGAUUAGAUACCCUGGUAGUCCACGCCGUAAACGAUGAGUGCUAAGUGUUGGGGGGGUUUCCCGCCCCUCAGUGCUGCAGCUAACGCAUUAAGCACUCCGCCUGGGGAUACGGUCGCAAGACUG